Molecule: ribosomal RNA, 371 nt
Filed under: uncultured bacterium
Lineage: Bacteria
Description: bacterial SSU rRNA
Rfam family: Bacterial small subunit ribosomal RNA
Source: RNAcentral
GGAGGGCGCAAGCGUUGUUCGGAAUCACUGGGCGUAAAGCGCGUGUAGGCGGCCGGGCAAGUCGGAUGUGAAAUCCCGAGGCUCAACCUCGGAACUGCAUUCGAAACUGCUCGGCUCGAGUCCCGGAGAGGAUGGCAGAAUUCCCGGUGUAGGGGUGAAAUCCGUAGAUAUCGGGAGGAAUACCAGUGGCGAAGGCGGCCAUCUGGACGGUGACUGACGCUGAGACGCGAAAGCGUGGGGAGCAAACAGGAUUAGAUACCCUGGUAGUCCACGCCGUAAACGGUGAGUGCUAGACGUCGCGGGUAUUGACCCCCGCGGUGUCGAAGCUAACGCGUUAAGCACUCCGCCUGGGGAGUACGGCCGCAAGGCUA